RNAcentral lists this ribosomal RNA (492 nucleotides) under uncultured bacterium. Its description in RNAcentral is "partial 16S ribosomal RNA". It matches the Rfam family "Bacterial small subunit ribosomal RNA", at positions 29 to 507 of the family's 1533-position model. The record is from RNAcentral.
AGUGAACGCUGGCGGUAGGCCUAACACAUGCAAGUCGAACGGCAGCACAGUAAGAGCUUGCGCUUACGGAUGGCGAGACGCGGACGGGACACGUAUACAUCCGGAUCUACUCUUUGGUGUAGGAUAACGUAGCGAGGCUUACUCUAGUAUCGCAUAUGACCUACCGUUGAAAGCAGGGGAUCUUCGCACCUGGCGCGAUUGGAUUAGCGGAUGUCGGACUAGUUAGUUGGCUGGGUAAAGACCCACCAAGGCGACGAUCGGUAGCUGGUCUGAGAGGAUGAUCAGCCACACUGGAGCUGAGACACGGUCAAGGCGCCUACGAGAGGCAGCAGUGGGGAAUGUUAGGCAGUGGGCGGAAGCCUGGUCCAGUCAUACUGCGUGGGUGGAGGAAGCCUUCGGGUUGUGAAGACGUUUUGUUGGUAAAGAACAGCAGCCGGUUGAGACCCAGCUGUUGUGACGGUACCCAAAGAAUAAGCACCGGCUAACUUCGUG